Molecule: ribosomal RNA, 253 nt
Filed under: uncultured bacterium
Lineage: Bacteria
Description: partial 16S ribosomal RNA
Rfam family: Bacterial small subunit ribosomal RNA
Source: RNAcentral
UACGUAGGGGGCUAGCGUUGUCCGGAAUCAUUGGGCGUAAAGAGCGUGUAGGCGGUCCGGUAAGUCCGCUGUGAAAGUCGGGGGCUCAACCCUCGAAUGCCGGUGGAUACUGUCGGGCUAGAGUACGGAAGAGGCGAGUGGAAUUCCUGGUGUAGCGGUGAAAUGCGCAGAUAUCAGGAAGAACACCCGUGGCGAAGGCGGCUCUCUGGGACGGUACUGACGCUGAGACGCGAAAGCGUGGGGAGCGAACAGG